UGAGCUUCCAAUUUGGUUGGA
This 21-nucleotide microRNA is filed under the name Monodelphis domestica (gray short-tailed opossum). Its description in RNAcentral is "mdo-miR-12406-5p". The record is from miRBase by way of RNAcentral. Lineage: Eukaryota; Metazoa; Chordata; Mammalia; Didelphimorphia; Didelphidae.